This is a long non-coding RNA of Argiope bruennichi, 458 nucleotides long. RefSeq lists it as uncharacterized. The transcript has 4 exons. The record is from RefSeq and is a predicted model, not a curated record. NCBI's taxonomy places the organism in Eukaryota, Metazoa, Arthropoda, Arachnida, Araneae, Araneidae.
AUACGAUACUGGUCUACUUUUGGAUACUAUAAAACCGGAUGACGAGAAUUGUUUCCUUUACUGUUGCAGAUACCUGGAAUCUGAAGAUGUUCUGCUUGUUGGUGGAAGUCACAGAAAUAUGUUGCGCAUUGUAGAUGUCACUGCAAAAAUGAAAAUUCGGGAUCUUUCGAAAAUAUAUGAAAGUCUUGCUUCAACUACUGAUCAAAAAGUUGCUAUUAUGCUUCCACUGAGUGAAUUGACACGUGAUCAUCACCGUUGUUGAUGAUACUGCUGAAUUUAGUUUGAAUCCUAGCCAAUUCGCCAUAUCAUGUUUUGAGUUUCUCCUAGUGGCAUUGUGAUCAAGUGAAUUUUUGCUGCAAUCUGUUGAAGUUAAAUUACUCACAAGCUAAUGGAAAUGAAAAUUCUCACCUGUGUCGUUGCCGUCGUAGAAGAGGUUGAGUAUUUUGAUGGUCUUCGAA